Molecule: long non-coding RNA, 1263 nt
Filed under: Malus domestica (apple)
Lineage: Eukaryota; Viridiplantae; Streptophyta; Magnoliopsida; Rosales; Rosaceae
Description: long non-coding RNA (MDOM_LNC002311)
Source: RNAcentral
UUAUUACCCACAAGGGUAAAGGAACAGUACCACUGCUGGAUAAUUGGAAAGUCCCUGUGUGUCAACCUCUGUGCUUCGUGGCAAGGUAGACUAGCAAACAUGCCCAACCUUUACUCACAUUCGAGAAAACACUACCAAUAAGAUUGCUUGCUCCAAAAUCGAAGAGGCACCGUCCUCCGAAUCUCGAGAGCCAGACUCCCAACAUGACUACUUUCUUAAAAAUCGAAGAGAGGGUAAAGGAACAGUACCAUUGCUGGAUAAUUGGAAAAGUCCCUGUGUGUCAACCUCUGUGCUUCGUGGCAAGGUAGACUAGCAAACAUGCCCAACCUUUACUCACAUUCGAGAAAACACUCCCAACAAGAUUGCUUGCUCCAAAAUCGAAGAGGCACCGCCCUCCGAAUCUCGAGAGCCAGACUCCCAACAUGAUUACUUUCUCAAAAAUCGAAGAGACACUGCUCCCCGAAUCUCGAGAGCCAGACCCCCAGCAUGAUUGCUUUUUCAAAAAUCGAUGAGGCAUCGUUCUCCGAAUCAAUCGAAGAGGCGCUCGCUUUCUCAAAAGCUGGGCUGCUCAGAGACCACGAGGGCCGAUCUCAGAAAUCGAAGAGGCACCUACUUUUCUAGCCUUGUCAGCACCUGUCACACGCACACUCAGCUUUGCAGAAAUUAUGGGCAUUCUGUCGAAGACUUCUGGUGAAGUAGAAAGCACAUGAAUCUUACUGUUCAAUCACCCACUUCCCACACGCAACAAUAGCUCAUGGGUACCACAAAUAACUUUGCCAAAGUUCUCUGCCAAAGUUGAGCACGUGAAGCUUGCAGCUCCCACUACAUCGCUCUGACCAAGAAAGGUAAAAGAAUAGCAAAGAAACAGCACUAACAAAAGUUUAGACACAUAAAUUUUGAAGGUCUAGCUACCAUAUUAUUACCCACAACUGUAAAGGAACAGUACCACUGCUGGAUAAUUGGAAAGUCCCUGUGUGUCAACCUCUGUGCUUCGUGGCAAGGUAGCCUAGCAAACAUGCCCAACCUUUACUCACAUUCGAGAAAACACUCCCAAUAAGAUUGCUUGCUCCAAAAUCGAAGAGGCACCGUCCUCCGAAUCUCGAGAGCCAGACUCCUAACAUGACUACUUUCUCAAAAUCGAAGAGAGGGUAAAGGAACAGUACCAUUGCUGGAUAAUUGGAAAGUCCCUGUGUGUCAACCUUUGUGCUUCGUGGCAAGGUAGACUAGCAAACAUGCCCAACCUUUACUCACAUUCGAGACAAC